Molecule: long non-coding RNA, 2884 nt
Filed under: Homo sapiens (human)
Lineage: Eukaryota; Metazoa; Chordata; Mammalia; Primates; Hominidae
Description: HSALNT0142441
Source: RNAcentral
UGAAUGGAUUUAAAAGGUGACUGGAACACUUCUUUCUGACCUCAGAGAUGUGAUGGAUGUCCGGGAAGAUUUUCUCAAGGGCUAGAAGUUAAGAACUUUGUUCCUACUGUUUAUCUUUUUCCCUUUCAUAUUCAAGCCACUUAACCAUACUGAGCCUCAACUUUUUCAUUUAUAAAAUGGAAAUCAUUUUAACUUUUCUCUGGAGGACAGCUGUUGCCUGCCCAUCACUAUUUCCUCCUUUUCUGGUGACAACAUCCUACUUUCCUUCAAAGAAUAAUGCCUACCCCAUUAUAAUAACUUUUACACGGGGCUGUCCCAACACAUGCUGCCUUCAAGGCUAGGUGCAUGACACAGGCCUGGCCAAUCAGUGUGUCCAAUCCCUCUGGCCACUGUGAUUGGUCCAGUUACGGGUAUAUGAUGCAGAUCAAUCCAGUAAAACUCAACCUCGUGACUUUUACUGGAACCAUCAGUCAAGACGCCUUCUUUUUCUAGUGAAGUCAUUAAGACUAGAGCUCCAGGCUUCUUCAUCCAACUCCAAGGGUUCCCAGCAACAUGUGAAGUCCUCUAUCUGUCACUAAGAAGCCGUGUGAGUGAAGCAGGCUAUAUACCUUGGUUUCAACAUCUGUGAACAAGGUGUAAUGAUGGUUUUCUCAUCUUUUUUUAGGAUCGUUAUAAGAAUCUGAGACAGUGAGAGGGAAAAGAUUGUUUUCCAUUCAUUAGCUCAGGCUGGGCAUUGGAGGCAUCUCCUCUGAGCACCUGCUAAAACAGCACUGGCAAGUCACUCUUUGGAGCCAUUUCUGGAAAGAGGUUCUAUACAAAUAAAAUUAGAAAAGUCUGAAUUUAGCAUAUGAGAAAUGUUAUGGCCAUUGGUACCUAUCACUCUAAACACCAUUCUGCUUAUUCUUGUCAUGUAGGGGCAUUUGAUUUUUAAUCUAUCCACUUAAAUAUUGGCUGCUUCUAUAGACUUCCCAACCAGCAGUCCUUGUGCAGGCAAAACUCCCAUUUAACUGAAUGAAAGUAUUAAACAUAAAAUAUUGUUAGGAAGAGUCUGAUAUUGUAUUUAUCUUGCUGAUAAUUAUCUUACAUGUUUUAAUUACUCCCAGUAGUGUCCCAAGGCUGAUUAAAGGAAAAAUAUAAUUUACUCAUCGAAAUAAGAUAUUAUACAAGUAUCAAAUGAUAUUGAUAAAUAUUAAACAAUAAACUUUCCUAGAAUUCUUUCCCUAAAAAAUUGGGGACCUUAUACUUCACUAGUUAUAUAUUUCAGAGCAAGCUGGUUUAUAACAGAAUGAUAAAGGUGAUUAGAAUGAAAGAGAGGCCAUUUGGAUUGAUUCAGUUUUGCUACAUUUAUUAUAAUUUACAAUACUUUGCCAUAAAAAUAAAAUAGUUACCCAACCUCAGAUUACUGUCUUUAUAUUGUGGUUGAUUUUAUAAUUGCUGACCUUUAUCCCAUAGAUUUUUCAGGGUUAGUUAUUACUGGUUUUUACCUGAGAGAUUUGGGGGAGUUGUGUUUAUCGCUCAAAUAUCCAAUCUAAAUUUGGUUCUCUUAUAGCAAUGGAUGGAUGACUCACCUCUCAUAGGAAUGAUAGAACUUGGAUCAUCUUGUCAAUCACAGAGCUUGGUGGCCUUCUACAAAUGUUUGUGGAAUGAAUAAGUGAGAGAAUGAGAGAUUAAUAAAGCCAAUACUAUCACCAGUCCAACGAAGAGCUGCAACUGAAAAAAAAGUCUGACAAAGUAUGAUGUACAUUGAAAAUGAAAAGAAACCAUUCUAUUCUUCGUGAAGUUAGACCUGGAUAGCUAUGUAUAGCUCUGCUCUCUGCAAUUUAAGAGAAAUAAUCUGGAAAUGCAGAAGAAAUAGGGAAAAGCACUUGUAACGUGCAGUUUUAUGUGUCAACUUGGGUAGGCCAUAAUACCCAGUUAUUUAGUCAAACACUAAUCUAGGUGCAGCUGUGAAGGCACUUUGUAGACGUGUUUAACAUCUAAAAUAAGCUCACAUUAAGUAAGAGAUUAUCCUCAAUAAUGUGGGUGGGCCUCACUGAAUCAAUUGGAAGUCCUGAGAGCAAAAACUGAGGUUUGCCAGGGAAGAAGAAAUUUGACCUCAAAACUGCAACAUAGAAAUCCUGACUAAGCUUCCAGGCUGCUGGCUUGCCCUACAAAUUUCAGAUAUACCAGGCCCCAAUCUUACGAACCAAUUUCUUAAAAUAAAUCAUGUAUGCGUAUUCGUUAAUAUACACACUCAUAUAAAGAACACACAUAUGUGUACAUAUAUGUAUAUGUGUGUGUAUGUUCUAUUGGUUUCGUUUCUCUUGAGAGCCCUCGCUGAUAGAGAUUUUAGUACCAAGAAGUAGGGUGCUAUUGUGUAAAUAAAUAAAUAAAUAAAUAAAAAUAUGGAAGUAGCUUUGGAACUGAAUAAUGGAUAGAGGCUGGAAGAGUUUUUAGGUGCAUGAUAGAAAAAUCUUAGAUUGCUUUGAAGAGAUUCUAAUAGAAAUGUCAGAGGCGUUUGAACCAGAGCAACUCCAUCUUUAACAGGGGCUGGGUAAAAUGAGGCUGAGACCUACUGCGCUGCAUUCCCAGGAGGUUAGACAUUCUAAGUCACAGAAUGAGACAGGAGGUUGGCACAAGAUACAGGUCACAAAGACCUUGCUGAUGAAACAACUUCCAAUAAAGAAGCUGGCCAAAACCCACCAAAACCAAGAUGGUGACAAAAGUGACCUCUGGUGGUCCUCACUGCUCAUUAUACGCUAAUUAUAAUAUAUUAGCUUGCUAAAAGACACCCUCACCAGUGCCAUGACAAUUUACAGAUGCCAUGACAACAUCAGGAAGUUACCCUAUAUGGCCGAAAAGGGGAAGGAACCCCCAGUUCCAGGAAUUGCCCACCCCUUUCCCA